GCCCCGGUAGCUCAGCUCGGUCGGAGCGCCCAGGGGCUAAGCGGGAGGUCCCGGGUUCAGGGGAACCCGCCCAAGAAUCCCGGCCGGGGCUCCA
RNAcentral lists this transfer RNA (94 nucleotides) under Thermoproteus sp. RNAcentral's name for it is "tRNA-Ser". Lineage: Archaea; Thermoproteati; Thermoproteota; Thermoprotei; Thermoproteales; Thermoproteaceae. The record is from RNAcentral.